RNAcentral lists this ribosomal RNA (280 nucleotides) under uncultured bacterium. RNAcentral's name for it is "partial 16S ribosomal RNA". It matches the Rfam family "Bacterial small subunit ribosomal RNA", at positions 585 to 866 of the family's 1533-position model. The record is from RNAcentral.
AAGUCAGUGGUGAAAUCCUGUGGCUUAACUGCAGAACUUCCAUAGAUACUGCAAAUCUUGAGUUCGGAAGAGAGAAGCGGAAUUCCAGGUGUAGUGGUGAAAUACGUAGAUAUCUGGAAGAACACCAGUGGCGAAGGCGGCUUCUUGGUCCGUAACUGACGCUGAGACGCGAAAGCGUGGGGAGCAAACAGGAUUAGAUACCCUGGUAGUCCACGCUGUAAACGAUGAAUACUAGGUGUUGGAUACGUUAGUAUCCAGYGCCGCACKAACGCAUUAAGUA